This 493-nucleotide ribosomal RNA is filed under the name uncultured bacterium. Its description in RNAcentral is "partial 16S ribosomal RNA". It matches the Rfam family "Bacterial small subunit ribosomal RNA", at positions 28 to 507 of the family's 1533-position model. The record is from RNAcentral.
GACGAACGCUGGCGGCGUGCUUAACACAUGCAAGUCGAACGGUGAAGCGCCUCCCUUUUUGGUGGGUGUGGAUGAGUGGGUAAGGGGGAGUUAAACGUGAGUAACCUGGCCCCUUCUUCCGGGUAACCGCAUGAAAAUGUGGCCGAUAAGGGUUAUUCCGGGGCUUGUGCAUGAUGGGUCCGGGGAAGCUUUUGGUUCGGGUGGGGGUGGGCUCGCGGCCUAUCAGCUUGUUGGUGGGGUGAUGGCCUACCAAGGCGGUGACGGGUAGCCGGCCUGAGAGGGUGGACGGUCACACUGGGACUGAGACACGGCCCAGACUCCUACGGGAGGCAGCAGUGGGGAAUAUUGCACAAUGGGCGCAAGCCUGAUGCAGCGACGCCGCGUGAGGGAUGGAGGCCUUCGGGUUGUGAACCUCUUUCGCCAGUGAAGCAGGCCUGCCUCGUUUGUGGGUGGGUUGACGGUAGCUGGAUAAGAAGCGCCGGCUAACUACGUG